AAAAGGACUUGGGAGCAAGUCAAAGUCAAGCACAAAAACAUAAUUCAGGCUGCAAACAAGAAAAGGGCUGACAUGAUGAAGACGGGAGGAGGACCCAGAGGUCCAGAGUUAACCCCUGCUGAGGAGCUGGCCCUGGCCAAUAACAGGGGUAGGCCCAUUAUGCAGGGCAUAGCUGGGGGCAGCUCCUCUGGAGAGGUGGUGGCAGGAGAGAAUCCCUAUGUCCAAGUAGUAGAAGGUUCACUCACACUCCUGCAGCCACCUACCAAUGUGUUGGGAGAGGAGCCCACUGCUGAUGAGGUCGGUCUAGACGAUGAGGACACACUUUCCGCCUUCUCAAGCGAUUUGGCAAAUCCUGCUGGACCACGGCCUGAUCCGCCGGAGCCUGGCCCCUCUCGCUCUUCGGGAACUGGGGAUGGGGACACUGACAAUGAAGAUGUGCGUACGCUUUAUAAGCGCUACUUGCGUGCGAAAAUUCAUAACCUCCACUUGAGCUCAGCGAAGCUUGAUGUGGAGGUUAAAUUGCUUAAACAGCAGCUG
Long non-coding RNA from Clupea harengus (Atlantic herring), 537 nucleotides. The record is from Ensembl. NCBI's taxonomy places the organism in Eukaryota, Metazoa, Chordata, Actinopteri, Clupeiformes, Clupeidae.